GGGAGAGCAUUCAGUGGCUCCACCUGGCGGUGUAUGAGGAUGAAUGAGACGGAUGCAUUUGAGGGCUGCUCUGGGGGAGGCCGCUGCUCUUUCGUGAUUUGAAUCCCGUGCAGUCCCUGGGCUCCUCUGCCGCUCUUGCCUCUUUGUAUCCCGGUAUUUGGCCCUUAGCAGGCACUCCCAGGAGCUGCUGGAACAGGCUGAGUCCUGGCGCUUAUCCGAGCUGUCUUGUUUGCACGCGCUCGUCUCCCACCCACUCACUGGUGAGCUCCGCAAGAGUGUACUUCUCUCCGUUCCUGGAGCGCCACGGCGUGCUGGUGCAUAGUAAGCAUCUGUCCAUGUCUGUCCAGUUGAAUUUCUUGAGAGUCAUUUGACCUUCUCAGCAGCUCUGGAGAACCCACAUUGACCAGAAACUUUGCAGCCAGCUCACCCCUCCAACUCCCCGCCCUGGAGUCCCUGACCCAGGAAUUUCUGCAUCAGGCUGCUCAAACCUGAAUUCGACAAAAUUUCAAAGCGCUGUAUCUUUAUGUUGAUAAGACAACAGAUAAAGUGCCAUACUUCGAACCUAGAUCACUCGAUGUUGCCUGUAGCUGAGUCCACUUCUGUCACUCACCCUGCAUUGCCCUGCUAGGAGCAAGGGAGAGAAAGCCAGCCAGAAGGCAUGGGCUCAAAUCUGUCUCCUCCUGUGGCCACUGUGAAAGUUGAUCAUACAAAGGACACUGUUGUCAUAGCCAAGCAGAGUUGAGACCAUGGGAAAAAGCACUUGGACCACGUAACAUUGCUCCAAGAGUAUAACUGUCUCCAACCCUGGCUGCUGGAACAAGUGUUGCAACCUGAAACCGGUUUGAUCUAAUAGCUACAGAAACAACCUGCGGAAAUCUAAGACUAGUUUCACCCACUCACCAAUCAGAGCUUGCCGGAUCCCCAAAACGUUGCUAGUGCUAAUGAACUUGCUUUCCUAACAAUCCAUACCAUUUCUCAUUUUUAUGAAACCUACAACCUUCUCUUUGCUCUUUGGACAUACUGAAGACCACCCAGUCUGUGUGUAUGCCCCAAACUGAAAUUCUUGCUCCCCAAAUAAAACAUUUUAAA
This is a long non-coding RNA of Pan troglodytes (chimpanzee), 1089 nucleotides long. RefSeq lists it as uncharacterized. The record is from RefSeq and is a predicted model, not a curated record. The transcript has 2 exons. NCBI's taxonomy places the organism in Eukaryota, Metazoa, Chordata, Mammalia, Primates, Hominidae.